CUAUCAUCGUGACCACAGCCACGACACGGAGGAGUGUAUUCAGCUCCGAGAUGAAAUCAAGGAGCUCAUCAAGCGGGGUCAGCUCGACAGAUUUAUCCGAUGCCGGUCUGAAGGUAGGGAGGAUCGGCUAAGGGCCCUACCACAACCGAAGCCGCCAAGGAGGGAAGAACAGCCUAGAGAUCGGCCUCCAAUCGGGAUCAUCAACACCAUCUCUGGAGGGCCCCGGAGGGGAGUGGCCAGUGGAUCGGUCGGACCGCUUAAGCAGCAAAGAACUGAAGGAUCUAUAACCUUUACUGAAGAAGAUGCCCGG
This 310-nucleotide long non-coding RNA is filed under the name Elaeis guineensis (African oil palm). RNAcentral describes it as "long non-coding RNA (EGUI_LNC080403)". The record is from RNAcentral. Lineage: Eukaryota; Viridiplantae; Streptophyta; Magnoliopsida; Arecales; Arecaceae.